GGUCCCUUAGUAUAAUGGCAGUACGUCUCUUUUACACAGAGAAAGAAGUGGCUCGAUUCCACUAGGGACUACCA
Molecule: transfer RNA, 74 nt
Filed under: Vibrio phage KVP40
Lineage: Duplodnaviria; Heunggongvirae; Uroviricota; Caudoviricetes; Pantevenvirales; Straboviridae
Also listed under: 5 other names
Description: tRNA-Val
Rfam family: tRNA
About the family: Transfer RNA (tRNA) molecules are approximately 80 nucleotides in length. Their secondary structure includes four short double-helical elements and three loops (D, anti-codon, and T loops).
Source: RNAcentral